ACUGCGGAAGGCCGCAGGGACCUCUGCCUAGGAAAGCCAGAGACCUUUGUUCACCUGUUUAUCUGCUGACCUUCUCUCCACUAUUAUCCUAUGACCCUGCCACAUCCCCCUCUCCGAGAAACACCCAAGAAUGAUCAAUAAAUACUAAGGGAACUCAGAGGCCGGCAGGAUCCUCCAUAUGCUGAACGCUGGUCCCCUGGGCCCCCUUAUUUCUUUCUCUAUA
Long non-coding RNA from Symphalangus syndactylus (siamang), 223 nucleotides. RefSeq lists it as uncharacterized. Lineage: Eukaryota; Metazoa; Chordata; Mammalia; Primates; Hylobatidae. The record is from RefSeq and is a predicted model, not a curated record.